Podarcis lilfordi (Lilford's wall lizard) is the source of this 71-nucleotide non-coding RNA. The record is from the annotation of a GenBank genome assembly. NCBI's taxonomy places the organism in Eukaryota, Metazoa, Chordata, Lepidosauria, Squamata, Lacertidae.
GCCUUAGCUCAGUUGCUUAGAGCAUAGUGCUGAGAACACCAUGGUUGCAGGUUCGAUCCCCACAUGGGGCA